Molecule: ribosomal RNA, 490 nt
Filed under: uncultured bacterium
Lineage: Bacteria
Description: partial 16S ribosomal RNA
Rfam family: Bacterial small subunit ribosomal RNA
Source: RNAcentral
AUUGAACGCUGGCGGCAGGCCUAACACAUGCCAGUCGAACGGUAACAGGAAACAGCUUGCUGUUUCGCUGACGAGUGGCGGACGGGUGAGUAAUGUCGGGGAAACUGCCUGAUGGCGGGGGAUAACUACUGGAAACGGUAGCUAAUACCGCAUAACGUCGCAAGACCAAAGAGGGGGACCUUCGGGCCUCUUGCCAUCGGAUGUGCCCAGAUGGGAUUAGCUAGUAGGUGGGGUAACGGCUCACCUAGGCGACGAUCCCUAGCUGGUCUGAGAGGAUGACCAGCCACACUGGAACUGAGACACGGUCCAGACUCCUACGGGAGGCAGCAGUAGGGAAUAUUGCACAAUGGGCGCAAGCCUGAUGCAGCCAUGCCGCGUGUAUGAAGAAGGCCUUCGGGUUGUAAAGUACUUUCAGCGGGGAGGAAGGGAGUAAAGUUAAUACCUUUACUCAUUGACGUUACCCGCAGAAGAAGCACCGGCUAACUCCGUG